UGGUUCGACGACCGAUUAAAAUGGGAACGGGGUGCGAAACCCCGACUGUCCCGCAGCUGUGAAUCGCCCUUUUAAUGGCGCAAGCAUGAUGUCACUGAGAUUUUCGGGAAGACGCUUGCGUACUGAGCGACAAGUCAGAAGACCUGCCACGAUGU
This 155-nucleotide non-coding RNA is filed under the name uncultured Prevotella sp. The record is from RNAcentral. Lineage: Bacteria; Pseudomonadati; Bacteroidota; Bacteroidia; Bacteroidales; Prevotellaceae.